GACGAACGCUGGCGGCAUGCCUAACACAUGCAAGUCGAACGAGACCUUCGGGUCUAGUGGCCCACGGGUUCGUAACGCGUGGGAACCUGCCCUUAGGUUCGGAAUAACUCCCCGACAGGGGUGCUAAUACCGGAUAAUGUCUUCGGACCAAAGAUUUAUCGCCUUUGGAUGUGCCCGCGUUGGAUUAGCUAGUUGGUAGGGUAAAAGCCUACCACGGCGACGAUCCAUAGCUGGUCAGAGAGGAUGAUCAGCAACACUGGGACUGAGACACGGCCCAGACUCCUACGGGAGGCAGCAGUGGCGAAUAUUGGAAAAUGGGCGAAAGGCUGAUCGAGCAAGGCCGGGUAAGUGAUGAAGGCCUGAGGGUUGUAAAGCUCUUUUACCCGGGAUGAUAAUGACAGUACCGGGAGAAUAAGCUCCGGCUAACUCCGUG
RNAcentral lists this ribosomal RNA (433 nucleotides) under uncultured bacterium. RNAcentral's name for it is "partial 16S ribosomal RNA". It matches the Rfam family "Bacterial small subunit ribosomal RNA", at positions 28 to 507 of the family's 1533-position model. The record is from RNAcentral.